CGGAAAUAGCUCAGUGGUAGAGCAUCACCUUGCCAAGGUGGGGGUCGCGAGUUCGAGUCUCGUUUUCCG
Molecule: transfer RNA, 69 nt
Filed under: bovine gut metagenome
Rfam family: tRNA
About the family: Transfer RNA (tRNA) molecules are approximately 80 nucleotides in length. Their secondary structure includes four short double-helical elements and three loops (D, anti-codon, and T loops).
Source: RNAcentral